This 836-nucleotide ribosomal RNA is filed under the name Dyscophus insularis (Antsouhy tomato frog). RNAcentral describes it as "partial 16S rRNA". It matches the Rfam family "Bacterial large subunit ribosomal RNA", at positions 1390 to 2574 of the family's 2925-position model. The record is from RNAcentral. Lineage: Eukaryota; Metazoa; Chordata; Amphibia; Anura; Microhylidae.
ACCUAUAAUUAACCAAAACCCCUAACUACCACUGAAUGACUUCAUAAAUAUAUGAAAGACCUCAUGCUAAAACUAGUAACAAGAAGUUAACCCUUCUCCUAAUUGCAAGUGUAAGCUGACAUGGAUCCCCCAUCGACACUUACCGUUUAUGAACCUACUGUAGCAACACAUCAAGAAAAUCCUACACCAUAUGCAUAAGACACACGAACGUUAACCUUACACCAGAGCAAUUCAAGAAAGAUUAAAAGAAGAGGAAGGAACUCGGCAAAUAACUAACCCCGCCUGUUUACCAAAAACAUCGCCUCCUGAUAAACAAUAGGAGGUCCCGCCUGCCCAGUGACUAUACGUUCAACGGCCGCGGUACCCUAACCGCGCGAAGGUAGCGCAAUCACUUGUCCUUUAAAUGUGGACUAGUAUGAACGGCAUAACGAGGGUUAUGCUGUCUCCCUCUUCCAAUCAGUGAAACUGAUCUCCCCGUGAAGAAGCGGGGAUAAAAUUAUAAGACGAGAAGACCCCAUGGAGCUUUAAACCCAAAGUCAACUGCUGCCACAUGUAUCACCCAAGCUUUAGCAGACCAUGUCACUUUGGUUUUCGGUUGGGGUGACCGCGGAGUAAAAUAAAACCUCCACGAUGAACGGAACUAAAUCCUAAUCCAAGAGCUACAACUCAAAGAAUCAAAACUUUGACAUAAAUUGAUCCAAAUUAACUUGAUCAACGAACCAAGUUACCCUGGGGAUAACAGCGCAAUCCAUUUUUAGAGCUCCUAUCGACAAGUGGGUUUACGACCUCGAUGUUGGAUCAGGGUAUCCCAGUGGUGCAGCCGCUACUAAAGGUUC